AGAACGAACGCUGGCGGCAGGCUUAACACAUGCAAGUCGAACGGGCGUAGCAAUACGUCAGUGGCAGACGGGUGAGUAACACGUGGGAACCUUCCUAGGGGUACGGAACAACUCAGGGAAACUUGAGCUAAUACCGUAUACGUCCGUAAGGAGAAAGAUUCAUCGCCCCUAGACGGGCCCGCGUCGGAUUAGGUAGUUGGUGGGGUAACGGCCUACCAAGCCUACGAUCCGUAGCUGAUCUGAGAGGAUGAUCAGCCACACUGGGACUGAGACACGGCCCAGACUCCUACGGGAGGCAGCAGUGGGGAAUCUUGGACAAUGGGCGCAAGCCUGAUCCAGCCAUGCCGCGUGAGUGAAGAAGGCCUUAGGGUUGUAAAGCUCUUUUACCAGGACGAUAAUGACGGUACCUGGAGAAUAAGCCCGGCAAACUUCGUGCCAGCAGCCGC
This 446-nucleotide ribosomal RNA is filed under the name uncultured soil bacterium. RNAcentral describes it as "bacterial SSU rRNA". It matches the Rfam family "Bacterial small subunit ribosomal RNA", at positions 26 to 518 of the family's 1533-position model. The record is from RNAcentral.